RNAcentral lists this transfer RNA (71 nucleotides) under Faecalibacterium prausnitzii. Its description in RNAcentral is "tRNA-OTHER". It matches the Rfam family "tRNA". From Rfam's summary of the family: Transfer RNA (tRNA) molecules are approximately 80 nucleotides in length. Their secondary structure includes four short double-helical elements and three loops (D, anti-codon, and T loops). Further hydrogen bonds mediate the characteristic L-shaped molecular structure. tRNAs have two regions of fundamental functional importance: the anti-codon, which is responsible for specific mRNA codon recognition, and the 3' end, to which the tRNAs corresponding amino acid is attached (by aminoacyl-tRNA synthetases). tRNAs cope with the degeneracy of the genetic code in two manners: having more than one tRNA (with a specific anti-codon) for a particular amino acid; and 'wobble' base-pairing, i.e. permitting non-standard base-pairing at the 3rd anti-codon position. RNAcentral also lists the same sequence under 2 other names. The record is from RNAcentral. Lineage: Bacteria; Bacillati; Bacillota; Clostridia; Eubacteriales; Oscillospiraceae.
GAGAAGAUAGCUCAGCAUGGGAGAGCGCCGCUUAACUGCGGAGGUCAUGGGUCCAAAUCCCAUUCUUUUCU